CAGUCUCCUGCCCCCAGGAGUGAGCAUGAAGUUGGAUCCAACACUCCAUCCAUCCUGAGGUCUAGAGGCAUUAAUGGCACGAGCAUGUUCUGGAUGGUUUUGGAGAGAAGAGCAAUCUUCCCUACACAUGAUUGCUUAGAUGAGCCUCCAAACGCUGGCAUGUUCUGAAGAAGGAAGCGGAGAGGCGCGGGCGUUGCAGAGGGAGCCUCGAGCUGAGCUGGGCUGGGAGUCAUUAAAGGAGGCGGCUGUCCCCGGGGCCCCAGACGGCAUCUCAUCAAGAUGCCCUGGAACUCGCCCAGCUUUGCUUCAGAUGUUCCAAGCUCAUUUUGUUCCGGUUAAUGUAACCUGUAAGAAUGUGACAAACAGCAGUUGGAAGGAUGUUCCUAUUUCAUUCCAUACGUCAUUGAACCAGAAUCAUUGGUCCUGGGUGCCCCAUCAAUAAGUUGGGGGAAGAUCUCAGAGCACGGAGGGGCAGCUUUCCAAGGGAGCUGGCACCACAGAGACAUUCCAGCCCUGCCUGGUUUUCCUUACACUACAGAGACCACUGAGCAUCCUGGGGCCUGUUCCCAUCUUUGAAUGUGAACCAGUUAAUUACUGCUGACAUAAACGAUGGCUGGCGCCUAGUUGCUGGCGCCCUGAAUCAAAGUCUCAGUUUUCCAGGUCUACGGAAUAGCGUGCAUGAAGUACCAACUUUUCUCACCGUCAUUCACAAGUGCCACCUCAAUCCCGUGAGCACUCAUUGCACUGUCAGAAGAAACAUGGGGCUCCGACUCUUAGGGCUGACUUUGGGGCUUCUCACCUUGACUGAUGGUGGUCAUGUGAAAAUACUUGACCGCAGUGCUGGGAAACCCUUUCUGGUCAGGUUAGGCUUCCUGCAGGAGUAGUGACAGUGCAGAGGCAGGGAACGUGGGCUUAGGGGAGGAUGUGUGUGUACAUAUUGAAAGGGAAGUUGCUAGGGGCUCAUUCCUUCAUCCAACCAUUGAAUAAAGGACUGUUUUUCCC
Molecule: long non-coding RNA, 1002 nt
Filed under: Sus scrofa (pig)
Lineage: Eukaryota; Metazoa; Chordata; Mammalia; Artiodactyla; Suidae
Description: lncRNA (ENSSSCG00015046225.1)
Source: RNAcentral